UACGGGGGGGGUAAGCGUUGUUCGGAAUUACUGGGCGUAAAGGGCUCGUAGGUGGCCAACUAAGUCGGACGUGAAAUCCCUCAGCUUAACUGGGGAACUGCGUCCGAUACUGGAUGGCUCGAGUUUGGGAGAGGGAUGCGGAAUUCCAGGUGUAGCGGUGAAAUGCGUAGAUAUCUGGAGGAACACCGGUGGCGAAGGCGGCAUCCUGGACCAACACUGACACUGAGGAGCGAAAGCCAGGGGAGCAAACGGG
This 253-nucleotide ribosomal RNA is filed under the name uncultured bacterium. RNAcentral's name for it is "partial 16S ribosomal RNA". It matches the Rfam family "Bacterial small subunit ribosomal RNA", at positions 524 to 776 of the family's 1533-position model. The record is from RNAcentral.